This 555-nucleotide small RNA is filed under the name Arabidopsis thaliana (thale cress). RNAcentral's name for it is "ATSL171950". Lineage: Eukaryota; Viridiplantae; Streptophyta; Magnoliopsida; Brassicales; Brassicaceae. The record is from RNAcentral.
AUAAAAAUUUAUUGGACAAACAUAUUUUUCAAAUUUACACUAUAUAAAAGUUGAGAUUAUUAAAAUAAGAUUAAAAUGAAUAGAAAUAACUGUUCAUAUUUGUUAAAAUAACUAUUAAAAUAAGAUUACAAUGAAUUGAAAUAGCUUCUAGAGUGAAAGAAGCUCAAAAGCUUUGAGCUUGAGCUUUCCUUGAAGGUAGAUCACUUUGGAAGUAAAGAGACCGAACACCUUUUCGGUUUAGAAUAUUUCUCAAACACCGCGACUAGCUUGCUCUCCCCAACUCCCGAGUGAAUGGAGCUCAAAAGCUUCGAGCAUUCCCUGAAAGUACAUAUUAUCCUCACAUUUACUUUCUUUCUAAUGAGCAUCUUAUUCCACAUUUUGAUUAAAUUCCAGUUAGGCCAAUAUAAAAAUCUGGACACGUUUAUUGAACUUUCUAAAUUUGGGGUAAUUGGCAUAAACUGACAUCAACUUAAAAGCACCUCCAUUGGUAAAUUAAUGGAGGGGUGAGUGUCUUUAAAAGAAAAAAAAAUACUCUCUCUAUUCCUAAAUAAUUUA